Molecule: transfer RNA, 76 nt
Filed under: Candidatus Scalindua sp.
Lineage: Bacteria; Pseudomonadati; Planctomycetota; Candidatus Brocadiia; Candidatus Brocadiales; Candidatus Scalinduaceae
Description: tRNA-Ala
Rfam family: tRNA
About the family: Transfer RNA (tRNA) molecules are approximately 80 nucleotides in length.
Source: RNAcentral
GGGGGAUUAGCUCAGUUGGGAGAGCGUUUGCAUGGCAUGCAAAAGGGCAGGGGUUCGAAUCCCCUAUCCUCCACCA